This 817-nucleotide ribosomal RNA is filed under the name uncultured sediment bacterium. RNAcentral describes it as "bacterial SSU rRNA". It matches the Rfam family "Bacterial small subunit ribosomal RNA", at positions 8 to 805 of the family's 1533-position model. The record is from RNAcentral.
AGAGUUUGAUCCUGGCUCAGAAUGAACGCUGGCGGCGUGCUUAACACAUGCAAGUUGAGCGGUAAGGCCCCUUCGGGGGUACACGAGCAGCGAACGGGUGAGUAACGCGUGGGUAAUCUACCUAGAGGUGGGGGAUAGCCUCGGGAAACCGGGGGUAAUACCGCAUGAGUCCCGACUGACAUAAGUCUAACGGGGGAAAGGCGGGGAUCUUCGGACCUGUCGCCUCUGGAUGAGCCCGCGUCCGAUUAGCUUGUUGGUGAGGUAAUGGCUCACCAAGGCGACGAUCGGCAACUGGUCUGAGAGGAUGGCCAGUCACACUGGGACUGAGACACGGCCCAGACUCCUACGGGAGGCAGCAGUGGGGAAUAUUGGACAAUGGGCGCAAGCCUGAUCCAGCAAUGCCGCGUGUGUGAAGAAGGCCUGCGGGUUGUAAAGCACUUUCAGUGGGGAAGAAAGGUUUGAGGUUAAUACCCUUGGAUUUUGACGUUACCCACAGAAGAAGCACCGGCUAACUCCGUGCCAGCAGCCGCGGUAAUACGGAGGGUGCGAGCGUUAAUCGGAAUCACUGGGCGUAAAGCGCGCGUAGGCGGCAGAGUCAGUCAGAUGUGAAAGCCCCGGGCUCAACCUGGGAAUGGCAUUUGAAACUGCUCAGCUAGAGUAUGGUAGAGGGAAGUGGAAUUCCAGGUGUAGCGGUGAAAUGCGUAGAUAUCUGGAGGAACACCGGUGGCGAAGGCGGCUUCCUGGACCAAUACUGACGCUGAAGUGCGAAAGCGUGGGGAGCAAACAGGAUUAGAUACCCUGGUAGUCCACGCUGUAA